AUCUUCACAAUGGACGAAAGUCUGAUGGAGCAACGCCGCGUGAGUGAAGAAGGUUUUCGGAUCGUAAAACUCUGUUGUUGGAGAAGAACGUAUUUGAUAGUAACUGAUCAGGUAGUGACGGUAUCCAACCAGAAAGCCACGGCUAACUACGUGCCAGCAGCCGCGGUAAUACGUAGGUGGCAAGCGUUGUCCGGAUUUAUUGGGCGUAAAGCGAGCGCAGGCGGUUUCUUAAGUCUGAUGUGAAAGCCUUCGGCUCAACCGAAGAAGUGCAUCGGAAACUGGGAAACUUGAGUGCAGAAGAGGACAGUGGAACUCCAUGUGUAGCGGUGAAAUGCGUAGAUAUAUGGAAGAACACCAGUGGCGAAGGCGGCUGUCUGGUCUGUAACUGACGCUGAGGCUCGAAAGCAUGGGUAGCAAACAGGAUUAGAUACCCUGGUAGUCCAUGCCGUAAACGAUGAGUGCUAGGUGUUGGAGGGUUUCCGCCCUUCAGUGCCGCAGCUAACGCAUUAAGCACUCCGCCUGGGGAGUACGACCGCAAGGUUGAAACUCAAAGGAAUUGACGGGGCCCCCCC
This 572-nucleotide ribosomal RNA is filed under the name Lactobacillus sp. RNAcentral's name for it is "bacterial SSU rRNA". It matches the Rfam family "Bacterial small subunit ribosomal RNA", at positions 361 to 925 of the family's 1533-position model. The record is from RNAcentral. Lineage: Bacteria; Bacillati; Bacillota; Bacilli; Lactobacillales; Lactobacillaceae.